Molecule: non-coding RNA, 72 nt
Organism: Bos taurus (domestic cattle)
Lineage: Eukaryota; Metazoa; Chordata; Mammalia; Artiodactyla; Bovidae
Source: Rfam
UCCCGGAUAGCUCAGCUGGUAAAGAAUCUGCCUCCAAUGCAGGAGAGCUGGGUUCGAUCCCUGGGUUGGGAA